AGAGCGAACGCUGGCGGCAGGCCUAACACAUGCAAGUCGAGCGCGUGUAGCAAUACACGAGCGGCAGACGGGAGAGUAACACGUGGGAACGCGCCCUUCGGUUCGGAAUAACUCAGGGAAACUUGAGCUAAUACCGGAUACGCCCUUACGGGGAAAGAUUUAUUGCCGAAGGAACGGCCCGCGUCCGAUUAGCUAGUUGGUGAGGUAACGGCUCACCAAGGCGACGAUCGGUAGCUGGUCUGAGAGGAUGACCAGCCUCACUGGGACUGAGACACGGCCCAGACUCCUACGGGAGGCAGCAGUGGGGAAUAUUGGACAAUGGGCGCAAGCCUGAUCCAGCCAUGCCGCGUGGAUGAUGAAGGCCUUAGGGUUGUAAAGUCCUUUUAACGGGGAAGAUAAUGACGGUACCGUAGAAUAAGCCCCGGCUAACUUCGCGCCAGCAGCCGC
This 447-nucleotide ribosomal RNA is filed under the name uncultured bacterium. RNAcentral describes it as "SSU rRNA". It matches the Rfam family "Bacterial small subunit ribosomal RNA", at positions 26 to 518 of the family's 1533-position model. The record is from RNAcentral.